UCGUUGCUUGUGACCUGCUGAUUCUUCUUAAACUGUCGUUUCACUUAUUCUGACAUUUAUAUCUUAUCUUUCUAACUUGAUUAGAAGCAUCUUGAGGUCCAGGGCCAUGCCUGUAGUUUCUAGGUAUGCUCUACAAUGGUUUCCCAAAUGGAAUCAGGUGAAUAAACACAUAUUAAUUAAUCUGAGAUUUUCUUGAAUGGAAGGAGUCAAAGAAAGAGGAUUCCUUCUGAGUAAGAAUCAAGGCCACUAAAAAAUCACCUUCCUAGUUUACAUUAUAUAAUCUUUAUUUACCUGUAUAAAGAUUUUAA
Molecule: long non-coding RNA, 308 nt
Filed under: Homo sapiens (human)
Lineage: Eukaryota; Metazoa; Chordata; Mammalia; Primates; Hominidae
Description: non-protein coding lnc-C1orf105-5:1
Source: RNAcentral